This 913-nucleotide ribosomal RNA is filed under the name Aspergillus carbonarius. RNAcentral describes it as "LSU rRNA". It matches the Rfam family "Eukaryotic large subunit ribosomal RNA", at positions 36 to 963 of the family's 3401-position model. The record is from RNAcentral. Lineage: Eukaryota; Fungi; Ascomycota; Eurotiomycetes; Eurotiales; Aspergillaceae.
UAGCAUAUCAAUAAGCGGAGGAAAAGAAACCAACCGGGAUUGCCUCAGUAACGGCGAGUGAAGCGGCAAGAGCUCAAAUUUGAAAGCUGGCUCCUUCUGAGUCCGCAUUGUAAUUUGCAGAGGAUGCUUUGGGUGCGGCCCCCGUCUAAGUGCCCUGGAACGGGCCGUCAGAGAGGGUGAGAAUCCCGUCUUGGGCGGGGUGUCCGUGCCCGUGUAAAGCUCCUUCGACGAGUCGAGUUGUUUGGGAAUGCAGCUCUAAAUGGGUGGUAAAUUUCAUCUAAAGCUAAAUACUGGCCGGAGACCGAUAGCGCACAAGUAGAGUGAUCGAAAGAUGAAAAGCACUUUGAAAAGAGAGUUAAACAGCACGUGAAAUUGUUGAAAGGGAAGCGCUUGCAACCAGACUCGCCCGCGGGGUUCAGCCGGCAUUCGUGCCGGUGUACUUCCCCGUGGGCGGGCCAGCGUCGGUUUGGGCGGCCGGUCAAAGGCCCCUGGAAUGUAGUGCCCUCCGGGGCACCUUAUAGCCAGGGGUGCAAUGCGGCCAGCCUAGACCGAGGAACGCGCUUCGGCUCGGACGCUGGCAUAAUGGUUGUAAACGACCCGUCUUGAAACACGGACCAAGGAGUCUAACAUCUACGCGAGUGUUCGGGUGUCAAACCCGUGCGCGCAGUGAAAGCGAACGGAGGUGGGAGCCCCCUCGUGGGGCGCACCAUCGACCGAUCCUGAUGUCUUCGGAUGGAUUUGAGUAAGAGCGUAAAUGUGGGGACCCGAAAGAUGGUGAACUAUGCCUGAAUAGGGCGAAGCCAGAGGAAACUCUGGUGGAGGCUCGCAGCGGUUCUGACGUGCAAAUCGAUCGUCAAAUUUGGGUAUAGGGGGCGAAAGACUAAUCGAACCAUCUAGUAGCUGGUUCCUGCCG